Molecule: long non-coding RNA, 4996 nt
Filed under: Brassica napus (rape)
Lineage: Eukaryota; Viridiplantae; Streptophyta; Magnoliopsida; Brassicales; Brassicaceae
Description: long non-coding RNA (BNAP_LNC001072)
Source: RNAcentral
GGGCAGCGAAAACAGAAACAGAUAUAGCAACGCAAAUCCAGCCGAUGACAGAGACUUGGAGGCUAGGGCGUUUAACCGCAAAAUGUGUAACCAUUAUAAUCAACGAGAAGAAAGCAACAUUCAUCGUCAAGAACAACUUAAUAGCCGCCAUCUGCAAUGCAUAAGAGAAUAUUUAGAUUCAUUAUUCUUGUAACAAAAUCAAAGGAGGACGCUGGGUAGAAUUAAGAAACUUACCUUUUUCUCCUUGGUAGCGUAAGUGAAGAACAUGGCAAUGUAGAUAGUCUCCACAACGCAGCCGAAAGAGUUGAUGGUAAUUAGGAGAAAAGCGUCUUGCUUAGUCAAUGCGUAAUAGAGCCAUAGCAUGCAGCUAAAUAGUGACACUUGGUACGGUAGAGACUGGAAACUUUCAGUCGAUUUGUUCUUGUAUAUUCUAUAAAACGUCGGCCUGCAAAAUUUCACAACAAAAAUAAGAGAAUAGUUUCUUAGCUAAUUAUUCUCAAAUAAUUAUUUUUAUAAAUAACUACUCCCUAAGAAAUUGCAUGUACUUACACGGGAGCCAGGAAUACAAGGAAGGAUAUUGCGUUUCCUGCCAUUUCAUUAGGAAAAAACAAUAAAAGAAUGAGUUGAUUGUAGAAUUAAAAGGCUUCUAGGUUUGUGGAGACAUGAAUGAAAACAACACAAGUUCUCUAACCAACCUCAACAGGAAUUAAAUUGCUGCAUUAACCGCACUACACGUACCGAGUAUAUGGACAACAAUGCGUGACGAUUUCAAUUUGUAAAGCUUUACUAUUGAUCUAUUUUCUGGUAGUUUAGGAUUUUAUUUACAAAAUUAGAAGAUCAUUAAUGACUCGUCUAUAUGUUUCUAAAUGAAGAAAAUUCUGGAAACGAGUACAAAAUAUAUGUACUUAUAUUAGUAGGUAGGUCAUGCAUGAUGAACUUCUCGUCUAAUUAAUGAACCGUACAAUUUAAAAUUAUUGAACUAGAAGACCCAUGGGCCAUGAGAGAUCGAAAAGAGAACAGCUAAGGAACAGACUAGGAUUUGGCUUUGUGAGUAUAUAUUAGUAUCGUUAAAACAUUACCUAAGAUGCCGAAGAUGAUAGCGAGCAAGUGGUGAUUGACCAUGACGCCCAUUUUCUAUAAAGAUCGAGAUGAAGCUUUUCCCGUACGGAGAUUUCUAAAGGGUCUCAGUUUUUGAAACCCUAAAGCUCUCGCUCUCCCCCUCUCUCUCUCUAAGAUGCUUGCUUCUUCUUAUUUCAUGGUGGAAACUAAUGAGUCUCAGGUGGUGUAUUUAUAGCUCCAAGAUAAUCAUUAUUGUCAAAUUAUUUUGAUUUUAAUUUUUUAAGUUAUUUGAAUCGUGUAACGUGUUUAGUAGUAUAAUAAAACAAAAUAAAAAAGAAUCGAAAAGGUAAAACGAACUCAGCCUGGUUGCAUGACAAGUGGAGAAAUUAGUAGGUAGCGUAGCAUUUUUUCAUUCACUAAACUCUUCUCCUUUUCUUCGACAACUUCAUUUUCUUCACGCCAUCUUCUUACACUAGCUUUCAAAAAUCAAUUAAAACCAAGUUUCGAAAAAUAAUCAAUUAAAACGAUAGUAAAUUUACACUUUAUACAAGACUGAUGAAUUUCAUGGUGACCAAAAGUCUACCCAACAAUCAACCAACAUAGUGGAAAUCAUCACUAGAAUGCGAUUAGUAUAUUUUCUUUUCAUCUUUUUAAUGUGUUAGUUCACAUAUGAUAUGAGUUGGACGAUCCAACAUAUCCCACCUAUCUAUUUGAUGGAUACAAUAGAUAUAGAUAUAGUUUAAAAUAUAAACAUAGAAUUUCAGGAUUACUCAUUGGCUAAAUAGUUUCAAAUUUGCUAACAACAAAUUUGGGACUUUUUUUGUUAAUUGGUAUAUGUAAAGGAGUAUAGGUGAAAUUAAUUAGUAAAGAUCUAAAACAGCUAGAAAUUUGUAGAUGAUGAUUAGGUUAAACCAAUGCAAUUUAUAGUAAAAUGCAUCUAUACGCAGAAAAUGGACGCCGUUUUCUUUAAACUUAUGGUAUUUUCUAUGAUUAACCAAAGUCGAAAAAGGGCAUUCACAUCCCCUGAUCAGAGUUCUCUGUAUAUAGACUCCCACGUUUUUUUGCCUUAUUACAAAAGAAGACGAUAAACCAUGCAUGUUUUAGGCAAAACUCCACCCGUCAAAAGGGAGCGUUGCGCGUGAGAAUGAUUAAGUGAUUUAAGGAGGUAAUGAAACAACAAAUGAUGCGUUACGGGAGAUGCAUAAUUAUUACUAAUAGCCUGAAAAAGGAAAAUCUUGUGCAAAUCACGUGACCUCUCCAAACGGUAUAGCGUUUCUUUUAGAGUUUGUAGAGUUCACACGAUAGCUAAAUGCCAUGUCAUCAUGAUGCUGACCAGGCCCUCUCUGCUUUCGUGUCUUCGGUAAUAUUUUCUGUUUCUAAACUUCUUCUCUUGUUUUAAUCCCCAAUUUCAGGACUCCCAUCAUUUUCUCAUAUUUAAUUUUGUAAGGAAGACAAAUUUAACGGUUAAAACAUUUGAUUUCAGUAACUCCAUAGUUCUUGUAUCACAAACUCAUUUGUUCUGAAACAUAGAGAAAAAAAACACAUUAAAGAAAAAAAAUCGAAAAUAAAAAAAUAAACAUUGGCAAAAAGAGUUAUGUACAUAAUUAGAUUACAUAUGAAUAAUAUGUACAUAACAUCUAACUGAUAUGAUGUUGCAAUAGGGCAAGAGGUGGGACUUUCUUAAUAACAAAAUUCUAAUUGAAGAUCCUGGAGAGUUGAGGAUGUUCAUGUAAACUUCUUUGGUCUUUUUUUAGUUUGGUGAUGUGUCACAUGUGGCAAUAUAUCGAUGAUUGAAUAACAAAGAUCCAAGAAUCAAGGUUAGUGUUUCUAGACUAUUUUCUUAUGUGUAGUUUUGGACAACGUGGCCGUAACAUGCCCAAUCUGACAAUUAUUUUUAAGGAUAGCAAUAGAUAUUGUAAGAAUAUGGUUGGUAAGUUUUUUACUCUCUUAAAAUGGGGUUUUUACUCUCUUGGAAUGGAUUUUUAUUUCCAAAAAUAUUGUUUUUACUAUGAAUGACUAUGAUCUCUAAAUAUUUGUAGGAAUUAUCAUGUACUCGAACAUUUUUGUGUUCGUUUUUUUUUUAGCAAAAUAAAUAAAGAAAAGACAGUCAGCAAAAAAAUUGUACAGUAUGAUUCUUUUGAAUUUUAUUAAAUUAUAUAUAUGACUAAAUUAUUUUGUUUGUUUUUUGCAAAAAAAGUGUAUUCAUUUAUAGAUGUGACAAAAUAUAAAUGACUCAAUAUAAUUUAAUCAUUUAUUAUUAAUUUGAUUUCUCGCCACUAUUUUUAGUCAUCAUACACAGACUGAUCGUCACUGAUUAGUUAUUGAUGAUGUAAUUCAGCUUGGCAUUGUACAAACGUUCCAGGAAUUAUACGUUAGCUAGCACAGACAACCUUUACCGAAACAUUGCGGUAAGUUUUAACGCCAAAAAAAACAUAGGACGUACGUCUGAAAUUUAUUUGAUUUUCCCUAUACAUAAUCCAUCAUGAGGCUCGCAUUUAAAUUAAACUUGAAUAUAAUAUUAAGAUUUAGUUGGAUUAUAUAUAUACUUGAGGCGGGUAGUAUGUUAUCUAUAGCUUAGCUUUAUAUACAGCAUUGGGUAGCUGUAGCUGAUGCACUGGUAUAAGCAGCAUUAAACUAUAGCUCAAUAGUAUUUUUCUACCGUUUUAAUAUAAAAACCACGUUUCAGAAAGAAUAUUAUACACAGUGAUACUUUUAUGCAACUCAUUACUUCAUUUUAUGUUGACCAAAGAAAACUUCGUCGGAGAGUUUGUCACCAAUAUGGUCUUGUAGAAUUCUUUUUCUGAUGGCGACGCCAAAUGAAAGUAGGUACUCAGAAAGCUUAUUAGUAGAAGUAAUCAAUUUAUAUUUAAUUUUGUAAGAGCGCUAUAGAUACAAUAUUACGAAGAUAAUAUAUUCACUUUAUUUUUUUAUUUUUUUGGAACACAUUUUCACUUACUUGAAACACAAAACUUUAUGCAAGCACAUAUCAAUAACAAUAGAUAAGAUACGAAACAAUGGAAACAACAACCGAUACAGUUUCAUUCUUUAGCCGACCGACGAGCCAAGAGUAAGAAGAGAGAGAGAGAGAAAGAGAGAGUGAGUGAGAUAGAUAUGUGUUUGCUUGGUGAAAUAUCCUGACGACACUUCAAAUUCGAGACGGGGCAGUCUCCACAUGGCUUUGUGCGGCUUCAGUUGACGUCUCCUCCUCUUUAGUAAUUUUGGAUGGAUCUUCAUGAUGAACAGUGUAAGAGAGUGGAAUCACCGGUUCCGUCACCGUGACAUCAACUGGGUGCAUUUCCGACAAACCUAACGGACUCAUCACAACAAUAGUCUUAAGUUGUUCUGAUGAACUGUUAUUCUUUUUCCCAAUAUCUAAUUUCUCCCCUGAGUUUCUGUAAACUCCAUACAAAACCAUUUGUACCAACCCUAGUAUGAAUCCCACCACGUUUGGAAUCUACAAAAAUCAUUUUCCAAAAUCUCAGUAACCUCUUUUUACCUUUGUUUUUUUUUACCAAAAACAUGACACUUAUGAAAAUAAAUGCUUACAGCAAUGCAUAUGUCGUGGAGAAAUGCGCCAUAUGCGAACCACAUAACAGCGCUUAUAGUGAGGAAGAAAGAAAGCGUGAAGGGCAUGAACUCCACACUCUUGGUCUUUAUCACACGAGCCUUUUGUACAACCAAAAAAACAUAAAUCAACAUUAUGUUACCCAAAAGUUCUGAUUUGUUUUGAAAUAAAUUUGUGAAUUUAACAAAACACAAAACGCGUAGUUACCACAAUCAUUAGAGGGGCAGCGAAAACAGAAACAGAUAUAGCAACGCAAAUCCAGCCGAUGACAGAGACUUGGAGGCUAGGGCGUUUAACCGCAAAAUGUGUAACCAUUAUAAUCAACGAGAAGAAAGCAACAUUCAUCGUCAAGAACAACUUAAUAGCCGCCAU